AAUACGCCACUGUAUUAUGCUUAAAUGAGGGAAGCCAAACAAGUGGAUCCGUGAUGGGUACCUGAGCCAUAUUUUUUAUCGAAUUAGUUCGUAUGGAAUAUUAAUUUUAAAAGUGUUGUGUGGGAGUUUGUUUUGUAAAUAAGCAUGGUAGUCUAUACAACUUUUUACUUGCCCACCUUAUUAAAACGCGAAUCGGUGCCGCUGUUUAUGAUAUAGCAAAUUUACGUUUAGCAGAAUCGAUUUUAUGUUGUUAGUUUUAAUAUUGGAGUAAACUGUUCUAUUAUCAAACUUAAACGAAAUUAUCUGUGUCUAUUACCGAUAUAGGUAACUAUAAACAUGUUUAAGUUGUAAUAUUUCUCACAAAGGUUCUUGUAAAAUUUCCUAUCAUAAAAAUUUAAAUACACACA
Non-coding RNA from Cinara cedri, 407 nucleotides. NCBI's taxonomy places the organism in Eukaryota, Metazoa, Arthropoda, Insecta, Hemiptera, Aphididae. The record is from the annotation of a GenBank genome assembly.